UUCUAUGGCCAUGCCACCCUGAACAAGCCUGAUCCUGUCUGAUCUCAGAAGCUAAACAGGGUCGGGCCUGGUUAUUACUUGGAUGGGAGAUCAUCUAGGAAGACCAGGUGCUGUAGGUG
Molecule: ribosomal RNA, 119 nt
Filed under: Pteropus alecto (black flying fox)
Lineage: Eukaryota; Metazoa; Chordata; Mammalia; Chiroptera; Pteropodidae
Source: RNAcentral